UAGAACCCUGUGGAUCAAAUCUGUG
This 25-nucleotide non-coding RNA is filed under the name Cricetulus griseus (Chinese hamster). Lineage: Eukaryota; Metazoa; Chordata; Mammalia; Rodentia; Cricetidae. The record is from RNAcentral.